RNAcentral lists this unclassified non-coding RNA (247 nucleotides) under uncultured fungus. RNAcentral's name for it is "sequence contains ITS1, 5.8S rRNA gene". The stretch from base 199 to 247 matches the Rfam family "5.8S ribosomal RNA", at positions 1 to 49 of the family's 154-position model. Lineage: Eukaryota; Fungi. The record is from RNAcentral.
UUUCCGUAGGUGAACCUGCGGAAGGAUCAUUACAGAGUUCAUGCCCUUCGGGGUAGAUCUCCACCCGUGUAAACAUACCUUUGUUGCUUUGGCAGGCCGCCGGGGCUCGCCCCGCUGCCGGCUCGCGCUGGCAAGCGCCUGCCAGAGGACCCCAAAACCUGAAUGUCAGUGUCGUCUGAGUAUCAUAUAAUAAGUUAAAACUUUCAACAACGGAUCUCUUGGUUCUGGCAUCGAUGAAGAACGCAGC